Molecule: ribosomal RNA, 506 nt
Filed under: uncultured bacterium
Lineage: Bacteria
Description: partial 16S ribosomal RNA
Rfam family: Bacterial small subunit ribosomal RNA
Source: RNAcentral
AUUGAACGCUGGCGGCAGGCCUAACACAUGCAAGUCGGACGGUAGCACAGGGGAGCUUGCUCCUCGGGUGACGAGUGGCGGACGGGUGAGUAAUGUCUGGGGAUCUGCCCGAUAGAGGGGGAUAACCACUGGAAACGGUGGCUAAUACCGCAUAACGUCGCAAGACCAAAGAGGGGGACCUUCGGGCCUCUCACUAUCGGAUGAACCCAGAUGGGAUUAGCUAGUAGGCGGGGUAACGGCCCACCUAGGCGACGAUCCCUAGCUGGUCUGAGAGGAUGACCAGCCACACUGGAACUGAGACACGGUCCAGACUCCUACGGGAGGCAGCAGUGGGGAAUAUUGCACAAUGGGCGCAAGCCUGAUGCAGCCAUGCCGCGUGUAUGAAGAAGGCCUUCGGGUUGUAAAGUACUUUCAGCGGGGAGGAAGGCAAUGUGGUUAAUAACCGCAUUGAUUGACGUUACCCGCAGAAGAAGCACCGGCUAACUCCGUGCCAGCAGCCGCCGUAA